RNAcentral lists this unclassified non-coding RNA (316 nucleotides) under uncultured fungus. RNAcentral describes it as "sequence contains ITS1". The stretch from base 1 to 96 matches the Rfam family "5.8S ribosomal RNA", at positions 49 to 154 of the family's 154-position model. The record is from RNAcentral. Lineage: Eukaryota; Fungi.
UAAAGUGCGAUAUCUAGUGCGAUUUGCAUGAACCUGUGAGUCAUCGAGUUUUUGAACGCAACUUGCACCCGUAAGGGUAUGUCCCUUUGAGUAUAGAACCAAAAUAUAUGUUGGGUGAUGCUAAGGCGGAGGCCAAGGCUUAAGGCUAAGGCAAAGGCUAAGAGCUCACCUUAAAGGUAGCGUUAAGGUUCAAAGGAACAUUAGUAGCCAUACUUCAGCGCGCAGUUAAUGUGUGAAGGUUACACAGGCUGCUUAGCUGUCCUACUAAGAUCCUCGUAUCCUGUCUCAAAGGGGCAAGAUCACCCGCUGAACUUAA